AUCAGUGUCCGUACAUUAAACUUGGUUUUCUUCUUUCCGUGUAGUCGGGGGAGGAUAUGCCAGAUGUGAAGUGUCUUACGGCUGAUUUUCGGAUCGGCUGUGAGUCCUUUGAAAUGUACAGAACUGACUCUCUUUGUUCGAAAAGCGUGGCAUUGCUGGUUGUAAAGGCUGUUCAUGUGACCAGUCGGCGAUCGGUUUGUCUGCUGUGGCGUUAAUGGAGGAGUGUUCGAUUCGCGGUAUGGUUGGCUUCGGCUGAACAGACGCUUAUUGGUCAUUCUUCUUGCUGUGGCGGUAUAACUGAUGAACCGUAGUCGUGUGUGACUUACCUUUUGAAUCGGCGUUGCUGUGCGAAGUAGAGUGACAGUUUCGGCUGUCGAGGGUCGACCCAUUUGGGAAAUUGUGCGGUGCGGCUUCGGUCGCGCGGCAUCUCAAUUGGACCUGAUAUCAGGCAAGAUUACCCGCUGAACUUAAGCAUAUCAAUAAGCGGAGGA
Molecule: ribosomal RNA, 491 nt
Filed under: uncultured Oomycota
Lineage: Eukaryota; Oomycota
Description: eukaryotic LSU rRNA
Rfam family: Eukaryotic large subunit ribosomal RNA (bases 435-491)
Source: RNAcentral